RNAcentral lists this small RNA (556 nucleotides) under Arabidopsis thaliana (thale cress). Its description in RNAcentral is "ATSL282740". The record is from RNAcentral. Lineage: Eukaryota; Viridiplantae; Streptophyta; Magnoliopsida; Brassicales; Brassicaceae.
AUUAUACUAGGUCUUGCCAUCUUCAUAUAUAUGCUAAUAUGCCCACAUUUGGUGCUUACUAGGUUUUAACCCGCGGUUUACCGCGGGCAAUCGGUUUAUUUGGUUCUUAUACUAAAUAUUUGAAUAAAUUUGAUAUCCUAAACAUAUAAAUAUAAAUUUCUAGUGAUUAGUGAAGAAUAUUGAUAUUAUUGAUUAUUGAUUUCAUGAUUGAAUAGAGUGUUUUUAGGGAUGGAAUGUGAUCAUCUUUUGAUUUCAAAAACGACAUAGAUUCCUUAUUUUUGUUGAACGGUUUAGAUUGAAGGAAAAUAAUAUUAUUAAACGGUUUAGAUUGAACUGAAUCAUAUAAAGUUUAGGAGAUUGUUAAGACCAAAUUACCCUUAAUGAUUUUGAAUAGCAAAGAACAAAAUCCAAAAUUGAAAUCAAAAUUGAGGUUAAAUUAGACAAAAUUUCAAUUUGUACUUCCCUUUUAAUAAUAAAGGGAUAAUCUUUCGGUAUAUAGUUUUUUUUUGCAUUUACUAAAUUUGUUUAAAUUGCUUGAUAUUCUACAUUAUAAAUU